AAGGUUAGCACUCCCCUUGAUAAGGAUGGAAGAGGUCCCAGUGGCCUUUACAACACGUAGAUGGUUAAGGCAUUGCCACUUACUUCGUGGCAUCUAACCU
RNAcentral lists this non-coding RNA (100 nucleotides) under Chelonia mydas (Green sea turtle). The record is from RNAcentral. Lineage: Eukaryota; Metazoa; Chordata; Testudines; Cheloniidae.